GUGCUCGCUUCGGCAGCACCUACACUAAAAUUGGGACGAUACGCAGAAGGGGGGCAUGGCCGCCAUGCAGGGAUGACACGCCAAGGUGUAAAGCAUUCCAUAUUUUU
Molecule: small nuclear RNA, 107 nt
Organism: Callithrix jacchus (white-tufted-ear marmoset)
Lineage: Eukaryota; Metazoa; Chordata; Mammalia; Primates; Cebidae
Source: Ensembl